This 253-nucleotide ribosomal RNA is filed under the name uncultured bacterium. RNAcentral describes it as "partial 16S ribosomal RNA". It matches the Rfam family "Bacterial small subunit ribosomal RNA", at positions 524 to 776 of the family's 1533-position model. The record is from RNAcentral.
UACGAAGGGUCCAAGCGUUAUCCGGAUUUAUUGGGUUUAAAGGGUGCGUAGGCGGCUUAUUAAGUCAGUGGUGAAAGCCCGUAGCUCAACUACGGAACUGCCAUUGAUACUGAUGAGCUUGAAUAUACUUGAGGUUGGCGGAAUGUGUCAUGUAGCGGUGAAAUGCUUAGAUAUGACACAGAACACCGAUUGCGAAGGCAGCUAGCUAAAGUACAAUUGACGCUGAUGCACGAAAGCGUGGGGAGCAAACAGG